GACGAACGCUGGCGGCGUGCUUAACACAUGCAAGUCGAACGGACAGGCGCUGCUUUUGUUGGGUGCUCGAGUGGCGAACGGGUGAGUAACACGUGAGUAAACUGCCCUUGACUUUGGGAUAACUUCAGGGAACUGGGGCGAAUAUAGGAUAGGAGCUCCUGCUGCAUGGUGGGGGUUGGUAAGUGUCGGCGGUUGUGGCUGGACUAGAGGCUUAUCAGCUUGUUGGUGGGGUAGUGGCUUACCAAGGCUUUGACGGGUAGCCGGCCUGAGAGGGUGACCGGCCACAUUGGGACUGAGAUACGGCGCAGACGCGUACGGGAGGCAGCAGUGGGGAAUAUUGCACAAUGGGCGGAAGCCUGAUGCAGCAGCGCCGCGUGCGGGAUGACGGCCUUCGGGUUGUAAACCGCUUUCGCCUGUGACGAAGCGUGAGUGACGGUAAUGGGUAAAGAAGCACCGGCUAACUACGUG
Molecule: ribosomal RNA, 468 nt
Filed under: uncultured bacterium
Lineage: Bacteria
Description: partial 16S ribosomal RNA
Rfam family: Bacterial small subunit ribosomal RNA
Source: RNAcentral